RNAcentral lists this long non-coding RNA (653 nucleotides) under Rosa chinensis. RNAcentral describes it as "sRNA RchiOBHm_Chr2g0123011". Lineage: Eukaryota; Viridiplantae; Streptophyta; Magnoliopsida; Rosales; Rosaceae. The record is from RNAcentral.
CGGGCCGACUUUACACGCAGCGGAAUUAGCCCGUGCGGCGCCAAGGUUCCACUGAACCGAGGCCAGCCUACUUCCUUACUUCCUUGAUACUCCAUUUUUCUUUUUCUUUCUGUGUGCUUCUCUUGUCAACUUGUCCCUUUCAACAUCAUCCCCUUACUUGUUGGGGCUUACCAACGAAAGCUACUCACACAUGAGUCUCACAUCUUGUGACUAAUCGAUCGCUUCCUUGUGUCUAGCUUGUCUCCCAAGACACUCGCCCAACCGAUAGGCUUUCAUGUCAUCCCGGCUUGAGUCAGCCCAUUACUGACCCGCGUGCAUCCCGCACGUCGAUAGCAAGUAGCAUGACCGUGUACCGAGACUAAGUUGGCAUUCACACUUCUGCCUUGGGCAAGGUCGAACCCUAACACAUGCCCACGUCGCUUGCUCCGUGGCCAAUGAGCACCACGAGGUCCCGACAUAUCUUCCGUAAGCCCACAUGUUUGUCUAACGCCGAUGGCAUAAGGAUCGCCCUCAUACGAACCUCGACCCCGACGUCGACCCGCAAUAUCAGCCUUUCGGCCAAUACUGUCCACGAGACUUCCUGACUCGUGGAAACAUAUGCCGCCCCUUUCUGACGACAUAUGCCCGGUCUCCUAGGCCCCCACGGGUGCCCG